AGAGUUUGAUCCUGGCUCAGGAUGAACGCUGGCGGCGUGCCUAAUACAUGCAAGUCGAACGGAGAGCUUCUGGUAAUUUAUUACUGGAUGUCUCUUAGUGGCGAACGGGUGAGUAACGCGUUGGUGACCUGCCCCGAAAUGAGGAAUAACUCCGGGAAACUGGAGCUAAUACCCCAUGUGGUCUGUGGAUUUAGAAACCACUUACUAAAGGUCUUCGGAUCGUUUCGGGAGGGGCCUGCGUCCCAUCAGCUAGUUGGUAGGGUAAUGGCCUACCAAGGCGACGACGGGUAGGGGACCUGAGAGGGUGAUCCCCCACAGUGGAACUGAAACACGGUCCAUACACCUACGGGUGGCAGCAGUAGGGAAUAUUGCCCAAUGGACGAAAGUCUGAGGCAGCAACGCCGCGUGUGCGAUGAAGGCCUUCGGGUUGUAAAGCACUUUUCUGAGGGAAGAGGAAGGACGGUACCUCAGGAAUAAGUCUCGGCUAACUACGUGCCAGCAGCCGCGGUAACACGUAGGAGGCAAGCGUUAUCCGGAUUUACUGGGCGUAAAGCGCGUGCAGGCGGUUUGGUAAGUUGGAUGUGAAAGCUCCUGGCUUAACUGGGAGAGGUCGUUCAAUACUGCCAGACUAGAGGACGGUAGAGGAAGGUAGAAUUCCUGGUGUAGUGGUGAAAUGCGUAGAUAUCAGGAGGAAUACCAGAGGCGAAGGCGGCCUUCUGGGCCGUUCCUGACGCUAAGACGCGAAAGCAUGGGUAGCAAACGGGAUUAGAAACCCCGGUAGUCCAUGCCGUAAACGAUGCAAACUUGGUGUUGGUGGUGUAAAAGCCAUCAGUGCCGCAGCUAACGCGAUAAGUUUGCCGCCUGGGGAUUACGGCCGCAAGGUUAAAACUCAAAGGAAUUGACGGGUUCCCGCACAAGCAGCGGAGCGUGUGGUUUAAUUCGAUACGCGAAGAACCUUACCUGGGCUUGACAUAUAGGUGGUAGGAAGCCGAAAGGUGACCGACCCUUCGGGGAGCCUAUACAGGUGCUGCAUGGCUGUCGUCAGCUCGUGUCGUGAGAUGUCCGGUUAAGUCCGGUAACGAGCACAACCCUUGCCGUAUGUUAUACGUGUCAUACGGGACUGCCGAUAUAAAAUCGGGGGAAGGCGGGGAUGACGUCAAGUCAGCAUGGCCUUUAUGUCCAGGGCUACACACACGCUACAAUGGCC
This 1207-nucleotide ribosomal RNA is filed under the name metagenome. RNAcentral's name for it is "bacterial SSU rRNA". It matches the Rfam family "Bacterial small subunit ribosomal RNA", at positions 8 to 1235 of the family's 1533-position model. The record is from RNAcentral.